GAAAGGGAAGCAGAAAUACCUCGGAAUCCUAGACCAAGCAGAUCUGUCCUAUUUGGAAUUUCGAAUUGAAUUUUGUGGCCAAAACGGACCUUAAUCGAGUGUUCUCGACUAAGUAUACUCGACUAAAGUCAGUUGAAACCUCAAUUUUCCAAUUUUGCAUACAAUCUUGAUAAUGGAUAUUUUUUUAAGGUUCGCCUCUGGUUUGAAAUUCGAGAGACUCCGACAAGAUUCGAGUACAACUGGCAUGGGAUUUGGGAUGAGGGCGGUCUAGUGGUUGACUUGUGUGAUUUUGGAGCGAUUGGGUGAGCUAGGAUUUCUGGCUCGAAUCUUCGAUUGAAGAUUCGAGAAGAUGGAUGAUGAUUCGAGGUUAAUGGGUAAGGGAUUCGUGUUGAUGGUGGUAUGGUGGUUAGUUGGUGUUAGUAUGGUAGCCGGCGACGUUGUUGCCGCCGGGUUUCAGGGGAGAGAAUUUGGUGGCAGCUCUAGGGUUUCAUGGGGGUGUUUGGU
This 504-nucleotide long non-coding RNA is filed under the name Nicotiana benthamiana. RNAcentral describes it as "long non-coding RNA (NBEN_LNC023697)". Lineage: Eukaryota; Viridiplantae; Streptophyta; Magnoliopsida; Solanales; Solanaceae. The record is from RNAcentral.